GACGAACGCUGGCGGCGUGCCUAAUACAUGCAAGUCGAGCGGUCUCUUCGGGGAUAGCGGCGGACGGGUGAGUAACACGUAGGCAACCUGCCUGUAAGACCGGAAUAACUAUCGGAAACGAUAGCUAAGACCGGAUAGCUGGUUUUCUCGCAUGAGAGAAUCAUGAAACACGGGGCAACCUGUGGCUUACAGAUGGGCAUGCGGCGCACUAGCUAGUUGGUAGGGUAACGGCCUACCAAGGCGACGAUGCGUAGCCGACCUGAGAGGGUGACCGGCCACACUGGGACUGAGACACGGCCCAGACUCCUACGGGAGGCAGCAGUAGGGAAUCUUCCGCAAUGGACGCAAGUCUGACGGAGCAACGCCGCGUGAGUGAUGAAGGUCUUCGGAUCGUAAAGCUCUGUUGCCCUAGACGAACAGCAAGGAGAGUAACUGCUCUUUGUGUGACGGUAUAGGAGAAGAAAGCCCCGGCUAACUACGUGCCAGCCGCCGCCGUAA
This 498-nucleotide ribosomal RNA is filed under the name uncultured bacterium. RNAcentral describes it as "partial 16S ribosomal RNA". It matches the Rfam family "Bacterial small subunit ribosomal RNA", at positions 28 to 523 of the family's 1533-position model. The record is from RNAcentral.